CAAAUUUCACUGUAGCCAGUAUAAUUAUAAUAAUUAUCAGGAAAAAAAAAACGAAGGGAUAAGACCGACAGGGAAGGGUGACCCUCACCCCUGCUGGCAGCCGAUGCCGGCGCACCGGAGACAGGGGGGCGGCGGCGGCCAGUCCCGGAGAGGGGAGGAAUGGAGCGGAUGGGACCUCUCAGAGGGGGGGUCUCAUCCUCUAAACAAUUAUUAAG
RNAcentral lists this long non-coding RNA (215 nucleotides) under Phoenix dactylifera (date palm). RNAcentral describes it as "long non-coding RNA (PDAC_LNC008943)". The record is from RNAcentral. Lineage: Eukaryota; Viridiplantae; Streptophyta; Magnoliopsida; Arecales; Arecaceae.